RNAcentral lists this transfer RNA (30 nucleotides) under Phrynocephalus helioscopus (sunwatcher toadhead agama). RNAcentral describes it as "partial tRNA-Tyr". The record is from RNAcentral. Lineage: Eukaryota; Metazoa; Chordata; Lepidosauria; Squamata; Agamidae.
CAUUUAUGGAGUGGUGAGCUCCUCUUAUCA